This 550-nucleotide ribosomal RNA is filed under the name uncultured Methanoculleus sp. Its description in RNAcentral is "bacterial SSU rRNA". It matches the Rfam family "Archaeal small subunit ribosomal RNA", at positions 325 to 879 of the family's 1478-position model. Lineage: Archaea; Methanobacteriati; Methanobacteriota; Methanomicrobia; Methanomicrobiales; Methanomicrobiaceae. The record is from RNAcentral.
ACGGGGUGCAGCAGGCGCGAAAACUUUACAAUGCGGGCAACCGUGAUAAGGGAACCUCGAGUGCCUGUAAAUGCAGGCUGUUCAGGUGCCUAAAACACACCUGAAGAAAGGGCCGGGCAAGACCGGUGCCAGCCGCCGCGGUAAUACCGGCGGCUCGAGUGGUGGCCGCUUUUAUUGGGCUUAAAGCGUUCGUAGCUGGGUUGUUAAGUCUCUUGGGAAAUCUGGCGGCUUAACCGUCAGGCGUCUAAGGGAUACUGGCAAUCUUGGAACCGGGAGAGGUGAGGGGUACUUCGGGGGUAGGAGUGAAAUCCUGUAAUCCUCGAGGGACCACCUGUGGCGAAGGCGCCUCACCAGAACGGCUUCGACAGUGAGGGACGAAAGCUGGGGGAGCAAACCGGAUUAGAUACCCGGGUAGUCCCAGCCGUAAACUAUGCGCGUUAGGUGUAUCGGUGACCACGAGUUACCGAGGUGCCGAAGGGAAACCGUGAAACGUGCCGCCUGGGAAGUACGGUCGCAAGGCUGAAACUUAAAGGAAUUGGCGGGGGAGCAC